RNAcentral lists this ribosomal RNA (370 nucleotides) under uncultured bacterium. RNAcentral describes it as "bacterial SSU rRNA". It matches the Rfam family "Bacterial small subunit ribosomal RNA", at positions 527 to 896 of the family's 1533-position model. The record is from RNAcentral.
GAAGGGGGCGAGCGUUGUUCGGAUUUACUGGGCGUAAAGGGCGCGCAGGCGGCUCAUUUUGUCAGGCGUGAAAGCCCCGGGCUUAACCUGGGAACUGCGCUUGAGACGGGUGGGCUAGAGAUCGGGAGAGGAGAGUGGAAUUCCCAGUGUAGAGGUGAAAUUCGUAGAUAUUGGGAAGAACACCGGUGGCGAAGGCGGCUCUCUGGACCGAUACUGACGCUGAGGCGCGAAAGCGUGGGGAGCAAACAGGAUUAGAUACCCUGGUAGUCCACGCCGUAAACGAUGUGUGCUAGACGUUGGGGAGCCUAGCUCUUCGGUGUCGCAGCUAACGCUUUAAGCACACCGCCUGGGGAGUACGGCCGCAAGGUUA